Molecule: non-coding RNA, 30 nt
Filed under: Mus musculus (house mouse)
Lineage: Eukaryota; Metazoa; Chordata; Mammalia; Rodentia; Muridae
Source: RNAcentral
UCUUAUGCGAAGUCCUUAUUGAGGUUUUGC